RNAcentral lists this long non-coding RNA (208 nucleotides) under Brassica rapa (field mustard). RNAcentral describes it as "long non-coding RNA (BRAP_LNC005887)". The record is from RNAcentral. Lineage: Eukaryota; Viridiplantae; Streptophyta; Magnoliopsida; Brassicales; Brassicaceae.
UGGUGUGCUACGGGGGCGUUGCGCUCUGUGAGUGAGGAUGAAUUGUAACAUCCCGAUUUCUGGUAUGUGUGGAAAAGGUUAAGAGAAUUGAUUUGGCUAUCUACGUCAUCAAAAUGCACUUACUUUUUUCGUCACACAUCCAUUUAAAAUUUUAAAGUUAAGCGUGCUUGGGUUGGAGUAGUGAAAUGAUGGGUGAUCUCUUUGGAAG